Molecule: long non-coding RNA, 3208 nt
Organism: Vespula vulgaris
Lineage: Eukaryota; Metazoa; Arthropoda; Insecta; Hymenoptera; Vespidae
Exons: 3
Source: RefSeq, a predicted model, not a curated record
GAUUAACUGCAUAGAAUAUAAUAACUCCUUCCACCGAGCCACGCCUCAGAAAUUAACUAGUCACCCGAUAUGGCGAUAUUCGGAAGAAAUUCUCCUGCAGAAGUCAUCCUCUCAAUAAUUUUUGAAGGAGUAAUACGCAAAGGUAUACGAGACUAACCGAAGGCAAAAGCAAUUCCAAUUUCUGGGAAGUAUUGCAGAGGAUCCGUAUUGAACGAUAUCUGGAUUCUAAUUACGUCCAAAGAAGAUAUAUGGAUUUCAACUAAGCCCAAUGUGAUCAUUAAACAUUUGACAUCCAAAAUGAUACACUCUUCAAUUGGUACUUCCUGUUCUUCCUCACAUCCGACGAUUCGUUCUACUUGGCUAGUAGAAAUGUCCGAAAGUCAACGAGCGUAGGAAAUGGAAACGUUUACCUCUUCAGACUUAUAUUUAAAUGAUAUUUUAUCAUGGCGACUAGAAUAUUUCUAUUGAUGAACAUUAUUCGAGCAUAUUGAAGCAGAAGAGUGUUUCAAGAGGCAGUUGAAAAUUCUAACAAAGGAAGGAACAUCGUUAGCUAUUGUUCAUGUAUGCAUUAUGUGAUUGUGAAUACCUUGGAAGAGGAAAAAGAAGAAAAUACUUACUUGCUUGACGACGAAGUUUCGAAAGAUCAAUAUGGCGCUGUUUUAUAAAGCUUGGAAGCCUGGUACGGGGAAAUGGGAAGGAUCUUUCUUCUUCAAAGCAUCUAACCGUGAGCUGCUUCAGUUGGAGGGUAUAAGCGAUUGUGCUCAAAAAGAUUUGUCGAUGAGCCGUCCGACGUUCCACGUGGGGCAAGGAUCACAGGGGAAUUAAAAUGAAACUGAGGGACGUUUAUCAUACAAAAUAAUUGAACAGACAGGGACGAUCAAAAGAUUCAUCUUUUUUCAAAGUAAUACCAUUAGUAGGGGAAUACUUUUAAAUUACACGUGAAAUAGAAUGCCCACGUCACGUCAUUGUUGUUCCAUCGAUUUAAAUUAAAUAACCAUUCGAUAUAAUUAAAAAGGUAAAAGUAUUGAAUUCUAUAUUUCAAUCUGUUUGCCGAAAUAUUCACGACAUAUACAUAAAAAAUAUUCGUAAUAUUUAAUUAGAGUUUUUCUUGAAUAUUCAUAUUUGGAUGAAAUAAUUUGAUGCGUAACGUUAAUUACCCAUUUAGUAUCUUAUGAAAGGAAUUUCGUGAUAGUGGAUGUCCGUAAUACGUUCUCCCAUAUUUAUCCUCAAGUACCUUCGUUUAAACCUUUCUCCAUUAUCUCUCUCCAUGUACGUGUGCUCUGGUGCGCGUCUAUCGGCAUCGGAUCGAGUGGCUUGCAUUGAGUGUGCGUGUGUACGUAGAACUCCUGCCUUAUUUUGAUAAUAAGGAAGGUAUUUUUUCAUUUGUUUUCCUGUCAUCAAACCAAGCAAACAAUAGGAGAUUGGCUGUAUAAUUCAAUAACCUAUUUAGAUUCAUUGUUUGAUAACAAGCUUACUUAUUUUGCAGAACAAUAGCCUAUUUUCUUAGGAACCAAUUGAUUUGGAACCUUAUAUAGGAAAUAUUAGAUAAUUAGAAGUGUAAUGGUAUUAUUGUUUUGCAUUCUCCAAUAGGGAGUAACUUUCCGGAACAAUUUAUCCGUUCAUAUGGAAGAAUCAUAUCAGCCGUGGUAUAUCGAUCCGCAAAAGACAAAUGAAAUCAUACAGCUAAAUAGAUAAUUGAAUUAUACCGCUAAUCGUAUUAUCGCAUUGUCUGCUUGGUUUGAUGAGGGGAGAACUAAUGAAAAAAUACCAUCCUUGUUUUCAAAAUAAGUGAGGAGAUGUACGCAAACACGCGCACUCAUUUCCGUCCACUUGACUGGAACACGUAAACGCGCAUGUGCACGGAGAGAGGUAGUAAUAAAUCGUUCAAUAUGAAAGUGCUGAAUGAUAGGUAGGAGAGAACGUAUUCCUCAACGAGCAAAUCGUUAAAUGCCGAUCAAUACCCCUUAACAAGGGAAUUUGUAGUCAUGCAGAAUCAUAUAUUUUUGCAGAAAAAUCACAAUUUUGUCCAUUAUAAUUUUCCAUGAUGUCUGUGAUAAAUGUUGAAUCUAUUCUUUUCCAACAUUAUCAUCCCUCGCAUUAUGCGUGAGGUCUUUCCGUUUUUUUGUUAAAUGUAAUGACUAUCACUCCUAUCGUUUUCUUCCCGAUUAAUAUUUUUUUUUCUAAGAUGUCUGUAUUAAUGUUUGUCUUGAAGCCAAAAUUCUCCUUCGAUAUUACUUAUGGCACGAAACUUACUCGUGUUUGGAAAUUUUGCCAUUCUCUUAAUGAAAAAGAAAUGAGUAAGUAAACAGGUUGGAAGACUGAAAUUGUAUAUUACGAAAUCACGAAACGAUAUAUACCAAAGAAAUAUUACGUUUCUGAUUUUUUGGCUUAUUAGUGUAGGGAACUAUCUGUUUCACUAGAAAUUUCAAUACGACACGAGUUCUGCUUCGCAAAUCUCCCCUCAGUUUCAUGAUUGCUUGUUUACUCCAUCAAAUAUCAUUGCAUGGUACGAAGCGUACUCGCGUACGAUUGCAGACAAGUCAUUAUCGCUCUCUUUAAGUGGUUUAUAGAUGCCCUCAGACCGUUGUGAACGUACUUCUUUUUCAUAAAAUCGACUGACAUUCUUUUCGUAUAACUUGGUAAUUUGCCCAUUUCUUGAUUAACUAACUGAGUGGUUCUCACGAAGGGGAAAUACGGGAAAGAGGGGAAGGUAAUAUUAAGAAACCAUAAAUGUGACGAAAGAUUUUCUCCGAAUUCGUUUUUUAUUAUUAUGGAAUAGCGAAAAUGCUAUCUUCGAUAACUUGAGCAAUAUGCAUUUGUUUACAAGAAAAGGAAAUAAUAUUUGGAGAAAAUGUUUUCAUGCAAUAUGGCAGUAGAUAUAACUUCCGACGAAAAAAUUUUUUAAGAGAGAUGAUUUUACUAUAAGAAUUAUAUAGUAUAUACGUAGUACGAAAAUUGAUAGUGAUAUCAUUAUGAAUAAUAGAAUACUGAUAAUAGAAUACUAUUAAGCAUAAGUCAGACUUACGAGAAAAAUAACAGUGUGAAUUUCCUAUAUUAAUAUCCGAUUAACUUCAUAAGAAUUAGUCUUCAUAAUUACAAUAAUUAUUAUUAUAAUAAUUAAUUAUAUUAUAAAUAAUUAGUUUUAUGUGAUUAUUUCAAUUAAAAAAUAGGCGAAUUAUUGUAAGAUUCUCAUUAGGAAAUUCCAUGA